Molecule: ribosomal RNA, 253 nt
Filed under: uncultured bacterium
Lineage: Bacteria
Description: partial 16S ribosomal RNA
Rfam family: Bacterial small subunit ribosomal RNA
Source: RNAcentral
UACGUAGGGUGCAAGCGUUAAUCGGAAUUACUGGGCGUAAAGCGUGCGCAGGCGGUGAUGUAAGACAGUUGUGAAAUCCCCGGGCUCAACCUGGGAACUGCAUCUGUGACUGCAUCGCUGGAGUGCGGCAGAGGGGGAUGGAAUUCCGCGUGUAGCAGUGAAAUGCGUAGAUAUGCGGAGGAACACUGAUGGCGAAGGCAAUCCCCUGGGCCUGCACUGACGCUCAUGCACGAAAGCGUGGGGAGCAAACAGG